Molecule: transfer RNA, 85 nt
Filed under: Felis catus (domestic cat)
Lineage: Eukaryota; Metazoa; Chordata; Mammalia; Carnivora; Felidae
Rfam family: tRNA
About the family: Transfer RNA (tRNA) molecules are approximately 80 nucleotides in length. Their secondary structure includes four short double-helical elements and three loops (D, anti-codon, and T loops). Further hydrogen bonds mediate the characteristic L-shaped molecular structure. tRNAs have two regions of fundamental functional importance: the anti-codon, which is responsible for specific mRNA codon recognition, and the 3' end, to which the tRNAs corresponding amino acid is attached (by aminoacyl-tRNA synthetases). tRNAs cope with the degeneracy of the genetic code in two manners: having more than one tRNA (with a specific anti-codon) for a particular amino acid; and 'wobble' base-pairing, i.e. permitting non-standard base-pairing at the 3rd anti-codon position.
Source: Rfam by way of RNAcentral
GCCUGGGUGGCUCAGUCGGUUGAGCAUCCGACUUCAGCUCAGGUCAUGAUCUCAUGGUUUGUGAGUUCGAGCCCCACGUCAGGCC